GAUGAAGAACGUAGCGAAAUGCGAUACGUAAUGUGAAUUGCAGAAUUCAGUGAAUCAUCGAGUCUUUGAACGCACAUUGCGCCCCCUGGUAUUCCGGGGGGCAUGCCUGUCCGAGCGUCAUUGCUGCCCUCAAGCACGGCUUGUGUGUUGGGCCUCCGCCCCCCGGCUCCCGGGGGGCGGGCCCGAAAGGCAGCGGCGGCACCGCGUCCGGUCCUCGAGCGUAUGGGGCUUCGUCACCCGCUCCGUAGGCCCGGCCGGCGCCCGCCGGCGACCCCCCUCAAUCUUGCCAGGUUGACCUCGGAUCAGGUAGGGAUACCCGCUGAACUUAAGCAUAUCAAUAAGCGGAGGA
Molecule: unclassified non-coding RNA, 349 nt
Filed under: soil metagenome
Description: partial contains 5.8S ribosomal RNA, internal transcribed spacer 2, and large subunit ribosomal RNA
Rfam family: 5.8S ribosomal RNA (bases 1-120)
Source: RNAcentral